GACAUAGGUGGCAAACGUUAUCCGGAAUCAUUGGGCGUAAAGGGUGCGUAGGUGGGCAGGUAAGUCAGUGGUGAAAUCUCUGGGCUUAACCCGGAAACUGCCGUUGAUACUAUCUGUCUUGAAUAUAGUGGAGGUGAGCGGAAUAUGUCAUGUAGCGGUGAAAUGCUUAGAUAUGACAUAGAACAUCGAUUGCGAAGGCAGCUCGCUACACUAUGAUUGACACUGAGGCACGAAAGCGUGGGGAUCAAACAGG
Molecule: ribosomal RNA, 253 nt
Filed under: uncultured bacterium
Lineage: Bacteria
Description: partial 16S ribosomal RNA
Rfam family: Bacterial small subunit ribosomal RNA
Source: RNAcentral